AUUUUAAGCAUAUUAGUAGGCGGUGGAAGAUAAUCCAAAAGGGAUUCCUUCAGUAAUGGCGAAUGAACGGGGAAAAGCUCAGCAAAGAAAUCGAGGACUCCGGCCUUGAGUUGUGGACUUGAGAGGUAUCGCCAAUGGUGGCACAGGUGGGGGCCUCUUGGAAAAGGGCACCACAGAGGGUGUGAGUCCUGUUUGCCAUCUGUAGUCCGCUGUGUACGGCAUGCCUCCUCCGAGUCACGUUCCUUGGAAUUGGAGCGCGAAGGUGGUGGUGGCUUUCAUCUCAAGCUAAGUAUGGGUUCGAGACCGAUAGCAAACAAGUACCAUGAGGGAAAAUUGAAAAGAGCUUUGGAAAGAGAGUUAAAAGUGCCCGAACUUGCUGAUAGGGAAGCGAAGGGAGCUGACGUUGCUUGGUAACAUCUUCCGCGCAGGACUAGGAUGGGUUCUGAUUGCAAUGUGUGUUGUGUUUCUUGCCAUGCGUGUCAAUGCCAAGUAAUGAGUGGGGAGAGCUCCAGGGAUAAUGAUUGUUUCUGUCCCCGGGUAGACGAAUAUGUCUGGGUGCAUCCAUUUGUGGGCUGAAAAAUUGGUGGUUGGUUGCAGCUCCCUGCCUACGAGGCAAUUGGGGUGUAGCCCUGACACGCAGACGAGGACAAAGUGCUUCUGUUCGACCCGUCUUGA
Molecule: ribosomal RNA, 675 nt
Filed under: Prorocentrum lima
Lineage: Eukaryota; Dinophyceae; Prorocentrales; Prorocentraceae
Description: LSU rRNA
Rfam family: Eukaryotic large subunit ribosomal RNA
Source: RNAcentral